AAAUUCUAUAAAUUUCCCUUUCCUUUCCCUUCCUCUCCACACUUCUAUUCAUUCCUUUUUUCAAGACUUAGAGAGAGAAAGAGAAAAAAAAGAGAGAGACAGUAAAAUAGUGAUAGAAGAAAAGAAAGAAAGAAAAACAGUGAAGAAGAAAACAUCAAGGUUUUAGUAAGGAAUCUAGUAUUACUUUCGAUGUCUUAAGUAGUAUUGUUAGAUAAACAAAUUUAAUAUGAUUAUUAUUUU
Molecule: long non-coding RNA, 240 nt
Filed under: Carica papaya (papaya)
Lineage: Eukaryota; Viridiplantae; Streptophyta; Magnoliopsida; Brassicales; Caricaceae
Description: long non-coding RNA (CPAP_LNC005807)
Source: RNAcentral